Molecule: ribosomal RNA, 463 nt
Filed under: uncultured bacterium
Lineage: Bacteria
Description: bacterial SSU rRNA
Rfam family: Bacterial small subunit ribosomal RNA
Source: RNAcentral
GACGAACGGCUGGCGGCGUGCCUAACACAUGCAAGUCGAACGGAGUGAAGCCCUUCGGGACUUUACUUAGUGGCGAACGGGUGAGUAACGCGUGAGGAACCUGCCUUUCAGUGGGGGACAACAGUUGGAAACGACUGCUAAUACCGCAUGACGCUUCUUGGGGGCAUCCCCGGGAAGCCAAAGAUUUAUUGCUGAAAGAUGGCCUCGCGUCUGAUUAGCUGGUUGGUGAGGUAACGGCCCACCAAGGCGACGAUCAGUAGCCGGUCUGAGAGGAAGGUCCCCCACAUUGGAACUGAGACACGGUCCAAACUCCUACGGGAGGCAGCAGUGGGGAAUAUUGCACAAUGGGGGAAACCCUGAUGCAGCGACGCCGCGUGAGUGAAGAAGUAUUUCGGUAUGUAAAGCUCUAUCAGCAGGGAAGAAAAUGACGGUACCUGACUAAGAAGCCCCGGCUAACUACGUG